This is an RNA transcript of Exaiptasia diaphana, 1197 nucleotides long. RefSeq lists it as uncharacterized. The transcript has 3 exons. NCBI's taxonomy places the organism in Eukaryota, Metazoa, Cnidaria, Anthozoa, Actiniaria, Aiptasiidae. The record is from RefSeq and is a predicted model, not a curated record.
UAUUACUUUACUAUGGUAUGUAAGGUCAUGUAUGCUAUUGGAGUAAAAGCGAGUCGGUAUUGUUGCCUCGCUAUGGUUUCUCUCUCCUCUCUCUAUAUCGGGACAUACUUCAUUAACGCUUUGGAAUUUAUUAGUAUUUUUGUUUUAUUUCAGUAAGUUUUCAUGGAAAAUACAUUUUACGCAGCUCAUCACGGAUGUAAAUUGUUAUAACUAUCGUCGCACAAAGACAUAGAAAACAAGGAUAUCAAUAAUCAAAAAUCAAACAUUUWAUACUCUUUACCUGGCAUUAACCAUUUAUCGAUAUGAAUCAAAGUUCAUUUGUCAUAAUUUCGACAAACAUCAUUUGAUUGGAUGAUUGCUAGAAAUCAUUUCACGCUUUUGACAAUUGAAAAUCUAAUCCAAUCGGAUGUAUUUUGCUCAGGAUGAUAAAGCACAAUAAUCCAGUUUCGAAUUCUCCAAUGCUCUGUGUUAGCCUCAUUUGUGCGCAAAAUAUUCCUAAUUGUGAGAAUGAAAUACAAUAAAAGAAUAUGUUACUUGAUUUUGAGGCUAAUACAGAGCAAACCAGAACUCGAAAUCGGAGUAUUGUCUUCGUGGUGAACACAAGYCGUUGACGUGACAUUUGGACCAACCUCUGUGUUAAGAUAUCAGAAAUGUCUUAAGCAAAACAARAACUUCCGAUGGAAAUGAGCCGGUUGAUAGAGCUAUAGGAGCUGUCAUGGCCACGUCUACGUCCACGUCCACGUCCACACCAACAGCCACGCCAACACUACUAAGUGUUGGAACCAUAGCUGGUAUAGCAAUAGGUGUUGCARUCAUUAUAUUAAUAACAAUCUCCUUACUAAUAUGGCGUUAUCUUCACAAGAAGCACAGGUUGUUGCAUCCCUUUGYGGGUGAGGCGACAAGACACAUGAAGUCCCCAUGUGAAGACCAGAAUAAAACAGUGAAUUGCAGCGAAGAGACGUGAUCAAAGCUAUUAGAGAUUGGGAAUGUAAAAAGUYACACUUUGCCAUGUGGGAUAGAAUGAAAGAUAACAAUGAAACACAACGAACACAGCGAAAAUGCAUUCAAUGUUUUUGAAGUAAUUCUUCAAAGUUCGAAAAUCGCAUUUACGUUUUUAAAAAUUGGGCUACGGUAAUGUUGUAAUUAAAGAUAUCUUUAAUAGACAUUGUAGCUCAAUAGCAAGACGUUUAGCAUUCA